UACGUAGGUGGCAAGCGUUGUCCGGAUUUAUUGGGUUUAAAGGGUGCGUAGGCGGCUUUGUAAGUCAGUGGUGAAAUACUCCAGCUUAACUGGAGGGGUGCCCAUUGAUACUGCGGAGCUUGAGUACAGAUGAGGUAGGCGGAAUUGACGGUGUAGCGGUGAAAUGCAUAGAUAUCGUCAAGAACACCGAUAGCGAAGGCAGCUUACUGGGCUGUAACUGACGCUGAGGAGCGAAAGCGUGGGGAGCAAACAGG
This 254-nucleotide ribosomal RNA is filed under the name uncultured bacterium. RNAcentral's name for it is "partial 16S ribosomal RNA". It matches the Rfam family "Bacterial small subunit ribosomal RNA", at positions 524 to 776 of the family's 1533-position model. The record is from RNAcentral.